Molecule: long non-coding RNA, 474 nt
Filed under: Monodelphis domestica (gray short-tailed opossum)
Lineage: Eukaryota; Metazoa; Chordata; Mammalia; Didelphimorphia; Didelphidae
Description: lncRNA (ENSMODG00000040388.1)
Source: RNAcentral
AUGAAAUCAUUCACUAGAUAUCCACCAAGUAUAUGCUUAAUAAUUUAUUCUAGAACAUUUCUAAGAAUUGAAGUCAAGUUCACUGAUCUCUACUUUACAGACAUUACUAUUGUCUCCUAUUUUUUUAUUUUAGGAAUCAGGAUAUGUGCCCUUCUUCAGCUCCAAGGUACCUUUCCUGUUCUAUGUGAGCUUUUACAUAUGACUGGCAAUUGCUCAACAAUAAUAUCUGCUAGCUCUUUGAUUUCCCUGGAGAUAAUCAUCUGGGCCAGACAACUUGUCUAUCCUGCCUUUUAUCUGCUGCCUACAGGGAGCCUUGGCAUGAGGAAGAGUUUGGUACAGUCUUCAGAGUUACUGACAACUGAUAGAGUUUUGCUACCCCCAUAGCUCAGCUGUUAUGCCACAGGAAUAAUGUCGCCAGAAUUCAGAAGACAGAAGCAUCACUGGUUGCUGGGGUAGUCAAGUUUCAAGGGGGUG